Molecule: ribosomal RNA, 330 nt
Filed under: Staphylococcus aureus
Lineage: Bacteria; Bacillati; Bacillota; Bacilli; Caryophanales; Staphylococcaceae
Description: partial 23S ribosomal RNA
Rfam family: Bacterial large subunit ribosomal RNA
Source: RNAcentral
AAGAUGAAUCAAAGAAGGUAAUAAUCCUGUAGUCGAAAAUGUUGUCUCUCUUGAGUGGAUCCUGAGUACGACGGAGCACGUGAAAUUCCGUCGGAAUCUGGGAGGACCAUCUCCUAAGGCUAAAUACUCUCUAGUGACCGAUAGUGAACCAGUACCGUGAGGGAAAGGUGAAAAGCACCCCGGAAGGGGAGUGAAAUAGAACCUGAAACCGUGUGCUUACAAGUAGUCAGAGCCCGUUAAUGGGUGAUGGCGUGCCUUUUGUAGAAUGAACCGGCGAGUUACGAUUUGAUGCAAGGUUAAGCAGUAAAUGUGGAGCCGUAGCGAAAGCGA